AGGAGGAAGAAAAAAAUGGGAAAUUACUUACCUCGAUGAACACGGUUUUCAACAGCCCACCGGAGACCGCAGUGAUGUUUGCUGUGAUGAUUUUGAGCUUCAAAGAUUCAAAAACCUCACACAAUUUGACCAUCGUGUCCAUCCUUUUGCUGCAUGUUAUGCUCACCACCAUUGUCUUUUCACCCAUGUGCGUCACUUUCAGCUUCCAAAACCAAAAUUAAUUGAAAUUUGUAAGUAAUU
Molecule: long non-coding RNA, 240 nt
Organism: Hibiscus syriacus
Lineage: Eukaryota; Viridiplantae; Streptophyta; Magnoliopsida; Malvales; Malvaceae
Exons: 5
Source: RefSeq, a predicted model, not a curated record